This 60-nucleotide small RNA is filed under the name Escherichia marmotae. Its description in RNAcentral is "Pseudomonas sRNA P26". It matches the Rfam family "Pseudomonas sRNA P26". From Rfam's summary of the family: P26 is conserved across many Gammaproteobacteria species and appears to be consistently located between the DNA directed RNA polymerase (beta subunit) and 50S ribosomal protein L7/L12 genes. Lineage: Bacteria; Pseudomonadati; Pseudomonadota; Gammaproteobacteria; Enterobacterales; Enterobacteriaceae. The record is from RNAcentral.
CCUUCCGGUUGCAGCCUGAGGAAUCAGGCUGAUGGCUGGUGACUUUUUAGUCACCAGCCU